Molecule: long non-coding RNA, 931 nt
Organism: Artibeus jamaicensis (Jamaican fruit-eating bat)
Lineage: Eukaryota; Metazoa; Chordata; Mammalia; Chiroptera; Phyllostomidae
Exons: 3
Source: RefSeq, a predicted model, not a curated record
GCUGGUCAGAGAAGCCGAAGACUAAAGUCCUGCCCUCAACGGGCUCAUUGUUUUGGGGGGCACACAAUGCUGUACGAAGUGAAAGAAUGAUUUCCGAAGAAGGGUUAAAGGAAGGGAGGGUGGCAGAAGUUUAGAACACAGCCAAGGUCAGAGUGAAGCCCCAAGGAGGAUGCUGCAGAGGCCCAGGGCUCCUGGAAACAACCUGAAACCACUGCUCUGAGCCAUCGCAGAAGCCACAGCCAGACACAGCUUCCGAAAAUUCCUUUCUACUCAAAUGCUGCUCCUCAAAAAUCAACUGGUUGGUGGGAAUGUAAAUGCUGGCGGUAUUCGCUGAGGCCGAACAUACUGCCAUUCUAGUCCUGGGUGUGUACCUGACAGAAAUGUGUGUGCAUGUUCACGAAAAGACAUGCAUUAGCAUGUUCAGAGCAGCCCCGUUUAUAACAGCCCAAAACAGAAACUGCCCAGUGACCCACACAGGAUAACAACAAGUCACUCAGCGAAAUACUCUACAGCAACGACAGUGAAGAAGCCUCAAAUGCAUGCAACACUGUGGAUGACUCUCAGGGACAUAAAGUGAGUAAAAGGAGCCAGAAGCGAGUUAAAAGAGGAGUACGUACCACAGGGAAUCCAUUAAGUACAAAGACGGGGGAAACUGACCUGUGCUGUCAGACACGGGGCCAGGGUUAUUUUUGGAGAGGGAGGUGCCAAGGGGCACAGGGGGGAUUUUCUCAGUGCUGGCUGCGUAUGUGCAUGUGGGCUUAGCUUGCAAAAGAAAAAAAAAAUCAUUACACUUCUGAUUUGGGUAAGGUGCUGUAUGAUAUUACACUUCAAAAAAAAAAGGUACAAAAAGAAAACAAAACCGUUGACUGCUCCCAAUUAAAUCAACUUACACUGUGGCCCAGAAGCGCUUUACAAUGUGGCUGUAACAUAC